AUUGAACGCUGGCGGCAGGCCUAACACAUGCAAGUCGAACGGUAACAGGAAGAAGCUUGCUUCUUUGCUGACGAGUGGCGGACGGGUGAGUAAUGUCUGGGAAACUGCCUGAUGGAGGGGGAUAACUACUGGAAACGGUAGCUAAUACCGCAUAACGUCGCAAGACCAAAGAGGGGGACCUUCGGGCCUCUUGCCAUCGGAUGUGCCCAGAUGGGAUUAGCUAGUAGGUGGGGUAACGGCUCACCUAGGCGACGAUCCCUAGCUGGCCUGAGAGGAUGACCAGCCACACUGGAACUGAGACACGGUCCAGACUCCUACGGGAGGCAGCAGUGGGGAAUAUUGCACAAAGGGCGCAAGCCUGAUGCAGCCAUGCCGCGUGUAUGAAGAAGGCCUUCGGGUUGUAAAGUACUUUCAGCGGGGAGGAAGGGAGUAAAGUUAAUACCUUUGCUCAUUGACGUUACCCGCAGAAGAAGCACCGGCUAACUCCGUG
This 490-nucleotide ribosomal RNA is filed under the name uncultured bacterium. RNAcentral describes it as "partial 16S ribosomal RNA". It matches the Rfam family "Bacterial small subunit ribosomal RNA", at positions 30 to 507 of the family's 1533-position model. The record is from RNAcentral.